UUCUUCCAAUACUUUAAGUGCUAAGAAAAAUUUAAAUUAUAAAGUGUCAAAUAAUAUUCCCAUUGUUGCAUAAACAUGAGAAAAAAUAUGGAUGGAAUUCUCAAUUUUGUUUUUGUUAUGAUUUCCUUUUAUCUAUUUCUUUUUGUAACGGUUUCCGUUUCAUCUAAAGUGUGUGAGUACAACCGCGAUUGUUAUGAUUAUUAUUGUGAUGAUCCCAGUGGCAUUCGAAGAUGCAUCAAAUAUCAAUGUCACUGCAUAUACAGGACCUAAAGCAGGAUAGCUAUGAACAUGUCUAUGGUACACCGAACCAACAUAUUGGUUAAGUUUGUGAAUCUAUUGAUUAUUUUCAUACUAGUUUCACACCAUAUCUAUACACAUAUUAUCUUCAAAUGUUCAUCAAUGAAGCUUAAUAUCAUUUGAUCUAUGGUGACUCCAUAAAAACACUAACUUAAUAGUGCUUUCUAAAAAAGCAGUAUUAAAUUUUUCACACAAAAACUUAAAAUAGAGCAUUUUUGGGAGUAUUUUAUAGGUUCAUCCCUAAUAUGCCGUUGUUCUAAUAUACACUUUUACGGGAUGCUAACAACAAAAAUAAAACAUGAGUAAGUUGUAUUGUUUAUAAGAUUUGUAAUGAAUUUUUGGGUUAAUAUAAAUUGAUUGGUGGUUUCUGAUAUGCAAUACAA
Molecule: long non-coding RNA, 680 nt
Organism: Vicia villosa (hairy vetch)
Lineage: Eukaryota; Viridiplantae; Streptophyta; Magnoliopsida; Fabales; Fabaceae
Exons: 3
Source: RefSeq, a predicted model, not a curated record